GACGAACGCUGGCGGCGUGCUUAACACAUGCAAGUCGAACGGAAAGGCCCUGCUUGCAGGGUAUUCGCGUGGCGAACGGGUGAGUAACACGCGGGUGUUAUGCCCCCCACAUCGGGGGAUGACUGGGGGACUGGGUGUCAUAUCGCAUAGGAGACAUUCUUCGUGAGAGGGUUGGUAGGUUUUUUCGGUGUGGGGUGGGCUCGCGGCCUGUCAGUCUGUUGGUGGGGUAGUGGGCUACCUAGGCGGCGACGGGUGGCCAGCCUGCGGGGGUGGACGGCCACACUGGGGCUGGGGCACGGGCCAGAACCCCACGGGGGGCAGCAAGGGGGAAUAUUGCACAAUGGGCGCGAGGCUGAUGCAGGGACGCCGCGGUGGGGAUGACGGGCUUCGGGUUGGAAACCCCUUUCGCCAGGUACGAAGCUUUUUGUGACGGUACCUAGUUAAGAAGCACCGGCUAACUACGUG
Molecule: ribosomal RNA, 465 nt
Filed under: uncultured bacterium
Lineage: Bacteria
Description: partial 16S ribosomal RNA
Rfam family: Bacterial small subunit ribosomal RNA
Source: RNAcentral